GGAGAGAUGGCAGAGCGGACGAUUGCGACGGUCUUGAAAACCGUUGAGGUGCAAGCCUCCGGGGGUUCGAAUCCCCCUCUCUCCGCCA
RNAcentral lists this transfer RNA (88 nucleotides) under Microthrixaceae bacterium. RNAcentral describes it as "tRNA-Ser". It matches the Rfam family "tRNA". Rfam says of the family: Transfer RNA (tRNA) molecules are approximately 80 nucleotides in length. Their secondary structure includes four short double-helical elements and three loops (D, anti-codon, and T loops). Further hydrogen bonds mediate the characteristic L-shaped molecular structure. tRNAs have two regions of fundamental functional importance: the anti-codon, which is responsible for specific mRNA codon recognition, and the 3' end, to which the tRNAs corresponding amino acid is attached (by aminoacyl-tRNA synthetases). tRNAs cope with the degeneracy of the genetic code in two manners: having more than one tRNA (with a specific anti-codon) for a particular amino acid; and 'wobble' base-pairing, i.e. permitting non-standard base-pairing at the 3rd anti-codon position. Lineage: Bacteria; Bacillati; Actinomycetota; Acidimicrobiia; Acidimicrobiales; Microthrixaceae. The record is from RNAcentral.